AACCAUUCUCACCUGCGGCUAGACCUGCGGAGGGAUCAUCAGUGGGAUAGUUUUAUGUUUUAGCCGUGUGAACGGUGCGGGGUGUGUGUGGUGUGGUCAGUUGGUCAGUUGGUCAGUUGGUCUGGCCUGCCUGGCCUGCCUGGCCUGCCUGGCCUGCCUGGCCUGUGUGCACACCGCCACCCUCUGAUACUAACACCUACUACUCUAAUCACGCGCCGCGCUGGCGGCCACAAAUAUCCA
This 240-nucleotide unclassified non-coding RNA is filed under the name soil metagenome. RNAcentral describes it as "partial contains 5.8S ribosomal RNA, internal transcribed spacer 2, and large subunit ribosomal RNA". The record is from RNAcentral.